CGCUAUCACUCCUACGGGGAGGCAGCAGUAGGGAAUCUUCACAAUGGGCGCAAGCCUGAUGGAGCAACACCGCGUGAGUGAAGAAGGGUUUCGGCUCGUAAAGCUCUGUUGUUAAAGAAGAACACGUAUGAGAGUAACUGUUCAUACGUUGACGGUAUUUAACCAGAAAGUCACGGCUAACUACGUGCCAGCAGCCGCGGUAAUACGUAGGUGGCAAGCGUUAUCCGGAUUUAUUGGGCGUAAAGAGAGUGCAGGCGGUUUUCUAAGUCUGAUGUGAAAGCCUUCGGCUUAACCGGAGAAGUGCAUCGGAAACUGGAUAACUUGAGUGCAGAAGAGGGGAGUGGAACUCCAUGUGUAGCGGUGGAAUGCGUAGAUAUAUGGAAGAACACCAGUGGCGAAGGCGGCUACCUGGUCUGCAACUGACGCUGAGACUCGAAAGCAUGGGUAGCGAACAGGAUUAGAUACCCUGGUAG
Molecule: ribosomal RNA, 473 nt
Filed under: uncultured bacterium
Lineage: Bacteria
Description: bacterial SSU rRNA
Rfam family: Bacterial small subunit ribosomal RNA
Source: RNAcentral